RNAcentral lists this ribosomal RNA (252 nucleotides) under uncultured bacterium. RNAcentral describes it as "partial 16S ribosomal RNA". It matches the Rfam family "Bacterial small subunit ribosomal RNA", at positions 524 to 776 of the family's 1533-position model. The record is from RNAcentral.
UACGGAGGGGCGAGCGUUAUUCGGAAUUAUUGGGCGUAAAGGGCGCGUAGGCGGCUUGGUAAGUCAAAGGUGAAAUCCCUCAGCUCAACUGAGGAAUUGCCUUUGAAACUGCCUGGCUCGAGGCCGGGAGGGGGUAGCGGAAUUCCCAGUGUAGCGGUGAAAUGCGUAGAUAUUGGGAGGAACACCGGUGGCGAAGGCGGCUACCUGGACCGGUUCUGACGCUGAUGCGCGAAAGCGUGGGGAGCAAACGAG